ACCCGAUAGACACAAAGACGAAUUCCCC
Molecule: non-coding RNA, 28 nt
Filed under: Cricetulus griseus (Chinese hamster)
Lineage: Eukaryota; Metazoa; Chordata; Mammalia; Rodentia; Cricetidae
Source: RNAcentral